This 342-nucleotide unclassified non-coding RNA is filed under the name fungal sp. RNAcentral describes it as "partial internal transcribed spacer region". The stretch from base 1 to 46 matches the Rfam family "Eukaryotic small subunit ribosomal RNA", at positions 1786 to 1831 of the family's 1831-position model. Lineage: Eukaryota; Fungi. The record is from RNAcentral.
AAGUCGUAACAAGGUUUCCGUAGGUGAACCUGCGGAAGGAUCAUUAACAUAUCCACGUAUCAGCCAAACCGUGAACUUGAAUCUUCGCUCACAGUUGAGAACCGUGAAUCUGUAUACCAGUUCGCUGACGUUGAGAGGGAGUGGAAGAAGGGAUUCCGCUCUGCUUUCUUCAGUGUUUAACUGUCAUCGUUGUCCAAUUACCAAACCACCCCUGAUGCCUCUUUUUCCACUUCAAAAGGAAAGCAUUGGUUUUCUCUAUAUUUCUGAUUGAAGAAGGGCCAUUUCGGCCUUUGUCUUCUAACACACUCUGUACAACUCUUAGCAACGGAUAUCUUGGUUUCC